Molecule: ribosomal RNA, 253 nt
Filed under: uncultured bacterium
Lineage: Bacteria
Description: partial 16S ribosomal RNA
Rfam family: Bacterial small subunit ribosomal RNA
Source: RNAcentral
UACGAAGGGGGCUAGCGUUGUUCGGAAUUACUGGGCGUAAAGCGUGCGCAGGCGGCUUCUCAAGUCAGGGGUGAAAGCCCAGAGCUCAACUCUGGAAUUGCCUUUGAGACUGAGUGGCUUGAGUACGAGAGAGGUGAGUGGAAUUCCCAGUGUAGAGGUGAAAUUCAUAGAUAUUGGGAAGAACACCGGUGGCGAAGGCGGCUCACUGGCUCGUAACUGACGCUCAUGCACGACAGCGUGGGGAUCAAACAGG